Molecule: non-coding RNA, 727 nt
Organism: Chrysemys picta bellii (western painted turtle)
Lineage: Eukaryota; Metazoa; Chordata; Testudines; Emydidae
Source: RefSeq, a predicted model, not a curated record
CGCGCCCCCCAUUCAGGGGCUCGUGCAACCUGGUGUCUGCCGGGCUGGAUUCAGAGAGCAGCUGGCACUGAGCUGCUUGGGUAGCUCGCAGGCAGCAGUCGCGGCUCCGUCCGUCGCUGAGGCUCAGCUCUCAGGAGGCAGGCGCUGUGGGGAGGAGGCUCGCAGGGCGCGUUGGGAUAUUGCAUCGGCUCUCCCUAGAGGUGUCCUAGCUCCCCCGCCCCUCAGUGAAGGAAUCCGCGCUGAUGCUGAACACUGGGUUAAGUUAUCACCCAGAGAUGGUGUGAGGGACUCAGGCUGCUCAACCUGCUGCUGCUGCUGUUACUUCUUGCUUUUUAUUGCUAAACAAAUCUGGAGCUCUCUGUCACUUUGUGUGGAGUGGACAUCACCUACAAAGCCUGUUGAAUAGCGUGUUGGAAGUCCACCACCUUGGUGGUAGAGUGACUAGCCCCAAGAUUAAAGAUAAACUAUUCUGAAAACGUUGAUUUUUCUACCUGACUCAGAAUAAUGGAUAUAAAAGACCGAAGACACCGCUCUCUAACAAGAGGUCGGUGUGGAAAGGAAUGCCGCUAUACAAGUUCUUCAUUGGACAGUGAGGACUGCCGAGUACCAACUCAGAAGUCCUAUAGCUCAAGUGAGACGUUGAAGGCCUAUGAUCAUGACACCAGAAUGCACUACGGAAAUAGAGUUUCUGACCUAGUUCACAGGGAGUCAGACGAGUUUCCAAGAC